This 20044-nucleotide long non-coding RNA is filed under the name Vitis vinifera (wine grape). RNAcentral describes it as "long non-coding RNA (VVIN_LNC005044)". Lineage: Eukaryota; Viridiplantae; Streptophyta; Magnoliopsida; Vitales; Vitaceae. The record is from RNAcentral.
AAAAAUCGGAUCGGGUUCGGGGGUCAGGUUACUUAUCGGGAAGGUACAGUAAAGACCGUAGCAGCCGUCUAAGUCCCUAGAGACGGGUCUCUAGUAAUAAAAUGAAGCAAUCGUGGCAUCUAAUAAAGAAAUCAAUGCAUACCCGAAUUGAUCAUGCACAUAUGGGAAUCAAUACAUGUAUAUAGAGUGACCAGAGUGAGAAUGGGUGCGUACCUGACCAACGAGCCACCAUGCGCUAUCAAGAGAGGAGGUUAGUGCAUAAUAACAAUCACGAGAUAUGUCACAGAGCAUAAUAAAAUCCAUCAUUCAUGGCAAUUAAAUCAAUCAAUCGAUCAAUCACAUAUGUGGGGCUCCCACCAAAGCCCGUUUAUUUUUGCAUGAAUCAAUCCCGUAAAUUCCAUCACUUGAAAUUACAGAAUUUAAAUUCAUGUUUAUUUUAAAACAUUUUAAAAUCAUGAAAAAUUUGAAAGUGAUUCGCCGAAAAGAAAAUGGCUGCCAAAUUUUAUUGAAAAUGAGAUUCUUGGGUGAUCCUAAAAAUUCUAAGGAUGAAAGAUGAGAAAAUUGGGAUUGUUAGAAAAUCAAAUUUGAGAAGAUAUUUACAAAAAAUGGGAUUUGAGAAAUCAUUUUCAAAAUCAAAGGUGAUGAAACGGUUAGUGGCAUGUGGCCCAAAGGUGACCAUGCAUGCCAUGCAAGAGUGGGUCCCAGGGUGGAAUGAGUAGGCCAUGGAAAGUUUAUGAUGAGAUAUCGGGUUCUGGGUACUGUGGGGCAACCAUGCACGGAGAAUCACAACGCGUGGGACUCAUGGUGGAAAAAUCAGGAUGAUUACAUUACGACAUGGAUGAUUGCAUGGUAAUAUGGAUAACUGCAGUUGCCAUGAAGGGCUCAACUAUCAAGUACAGCUUUUCUAUGGUGCCAAUCUCCUACUCAGGCUGGAAGGAGCAUCUUACUUGUAGUCGGAAGUAUGACAGAAGUAACAUGGCCAACAUGUGGAAGCUUGGAGUUGCUCCUCUUUCUCGACUUAGCAAACUCUCUCAUCUGAUGUGAAAUUACCAUUGAAUUCACAGUCCUCUCAAAUACUUCACAGGACUACCAUCUUCUGUCACUUCAUCAGGGACAUUCAUUUUCAUGUCUUUGACUUUGGUUUGGAGACCCUGCAACUUCACUAGAAGAUGGACUUGAAGACGCUGAUUCCGAGUCGUCACCCUUUGGCAUUUCAUUCUAGCGUUUGAAGCGUCAUCGCGGGUCACGUUUCAUUCAAUUAGUGCAAGGGUGGACCUUCAGAAAUACUCCGUAUAUAAACACGUCCGUCAAUGCUUUCACUAGCAAGAAGAUGAACGUCCUGUGAAGAGAACAAUGUGUUCGAUAUAGAAGGAAUACGCGACUGUGAGUGGCCAGAGCUGCAUGCACAUAGGAUAACAUUUGUGCCGAGGAGGUUGAAGCUGCAAGCUUUGCUGCCAUAGCAGUAGCUGCAGAUUUCCGUGGAUCUUCUUCAAAGCAGGAAGAAGACUUACCAGUUAAAGAUUCCUCCCUUAUGUACAUUACCAGAACUAAUUGUUCCUUGUCUCGACCACUGGCUGGAGUUUCUGGAGUGAAAGUGGAAGGUGCCUCAGCAUGAGCAUUAACAUCCAUCUACUCUGCUGUCAUAUGCCCUCUGUUGCAGUUCAGCAAUUGUUGCCGAAUGCUGCUUAUAUGUGCUGAUUGUGACUUGGCAAUGUUUCUAACCCCGCUUCAAUGAUAGCCAGUUAAUACCUCUUCAUCAUUCGAGUGAAUGAGCAGUUCAAAUACUAGAUGAGCAGGCUUUGUCUGAAUCAACAGGAGGCUAUGGCUUGCCCCUAGUGCAGGAAAGAGGUUUAAUGGACACAAGUGACAUUGUAGAAAGAGAGAGCGGGCAUGAAGAAGGGUAUAGAGGUGGAAAUGGAUUUAAUGGUAUGGUGACAGAUUUAUAUAUUCUGAAAAGGGUUAGAAGUGAGGGUGAUUCGUUGAUGAUGGGCAUGAAAGAAUUAUGUGAUAAGAUGUCGGGAUCAUAUGAUGCUCCAGUAUCCUCAUCAUCUUCUAGGGUUGGAAGAUACAAAUAUAGCUUCAAAAAAAGGUAUGCGAGAAGCUUUUGUGAGGCAAUCAGAAACAUCCUUGACCGGAAUCUUCAUUGUGCUGAAUUGAGGAGAUGAGAGCAGGGAUCUAAUCUUCUCAGAGCAUCUGAGUAUGAGACUUGAAACAUCUAGCCAACUCCAUGAAUCACUCACGGUUAUCUUCUCAGCAAACCAACCAUACUUCAUUUCAGGAAUGUCUAUUGGACUGCUACAUACUGCAACAAUAUUAUCCCCAUCCAAUAUAAGAACAUUCCAUGAAAAUCUUGAACCAUACAGCCCAGGGAAGUAGUUAUCCUCAGCACACAUCGCAACAGGAACCACAGAACAAGGAUGAAGCAUCCACGGAUGAUUUCGAGGUGUCAUUGACAAGGCUGAAGUUAUUGAAUUACUUGAACUCUGACCCAUUCUUUUAUUCAGUAUCAUCUUAACUUUGAGAGCGCGCAUCUUUAUAGAAUUUCACAGCUGGGUUUGGAUCCACUCUCAUGACCCAUUCAAUUAAGAACAGAGGAAAACGUGAAAUGAUCAUUUACAAAAAUAGAGUAUAAAGACAGAAAAUCAAUGAGUGAAGGCCUAUUUCAUUUUUCUAUCCAUGGGCUUGCAAGAGGGUUGACUGUUGAGAGACUACGGGUUCAUAUAAAAACAGGGGGAUUAAAUUCUGAAAUAUCUCACAAUGAAGUUAAAAACAAAUUCAAGUUACUCUUCAGCAAAGCUAAAAAGAAGAGAAAGAUAAAACAAUGACAACAAACCCACAAUCAUACCAGAGAUUAGUGAAAACUAAACAUUCAAUCUGAUGCUCAUACCCAAGACAAACAAUAAUCCAGAAACAAAAUGGAGAAGAGUAUGAAAAGGGUUCAUACCUGAACUCCUUAAGUGAAAAACAGUCCAACUCCUUCUCUUGCAGUUAUGAAAAAUACCCUCAAGAAGAUGAACCUCCUCUAUUUUUUACUUUCUAGAAAAUAUCUUCCUCCUCUCCUUCUGAUGAAAAACAACUCUCCAAUGGCAGCCUCACAAAACUCCUCCUUCCUUGCUAAUUCAAACUUCCUUCCCCGAUCCCAAACAUCCCCCAGGUCAUGAAAAACUCACUCUCAGAAAUAUGGAAAACCCCCUCCCUCUGGAAACUUCUUGCCCAAGCUCCCUCUAAGACAUAUCUCCUCCAACAAUCCUUGAAAAAAAAUCCCUAACCGCCUACUCCCAGACCAGCCUCACCUCCACUACCCUGCAGCUGCCAGCCUCCACCACCCUGCAGCUGGCAAAAAAAAAGGUAUCCUCCAACAGCCAGACCCCCUCUCCUCACUCCUCAGCUGCCUUUUUUCUUUCCCCUCAAAUAACAGCCAAAAUGAUUGUUUUCUGAUUCCCCUUGACAGGUGUCGACCCCAGAUGGGCCUUCAAAAGCACUACUCUGAUUCCAUGAUGGCCAAUCAGGGAUUGACACGUGGAUGCUUAGGAGCGCGACACUUGGCCAAACAAUGCUGCAGCAAAACAAGCCCCACAUGGGGGUCUACAGAUGCUUAUGUAUGGUCAUGAAAACAUCACUGUACAACAAAUGAAACUAACAAUUAAUAAUUAAUAUAAAUUAAAACAAUAAAUAAAAAUUAAUAUAUGAAUAAUCUUACUCAUGAAAUGCUCAUGGAUCCCUUAAAAAAAUCAUUAAGCAAUCUGAAAUCAUUAGUUUAAUUCAUUUCGAGCUCAUAGUAGUUGUUCAAAUAGCCGUGCAAAAUACGUGCAAUAUUAUUAUGGCAAAACUGAAGAUCGAGUCCCAUAUUGUCAUCACAUAAUCUUGUGAUUUUCCCUCUACCGUUCACCACUACUACAUUAUCCAUACAAAAUUGAUCUUCUAACUUCUCUGAUCAUACCAAGUAUUGAAUAGUUUCAAACAUGUCACCCGAUAAGAAAUAUUAACUAAAUACAAAUCUAAAAAAUAAAAAAACAUUAAAAGUAAAUAAAAUGUUUAUUACAAAAAUACUGUAGAAUUUAUAUCAAUUCUUGAUUAAGUUUAUGUUCGAUUACAAGUUGGUGAUGUUGGAUCCAAUCAUGUAGGCUAAUGUGGUGCUCAAAAACAAUUAUACGGUGUCGAAAUUCUACAUAACUAAGAUAGCGAACGAAAACGUAUUGCUUAUCCAAAGUUUCUGCAAUAUCAUAGGAACAAAAUUCUAUAUCAUUUGGAUGCACUAUUUUCAAAGACACCAACCUAAAGUAGUUUCCUUUUCCAUCUACUUCAUAUAUAUUGUCUUUAAUAUGUACGACAUUAUAGUAUUUGGUAGCACUACAGACGUUAAACCUGUCAUUACUACCAAUCAUUCGUAAAAAAAAUAUAAUAUUUUUUUCACAAUCUAUCCACAACACAUUGAGACUCUCAAAGUGUUAGAAAAGUUAAUAAAAAAAAUUGGCAUAAGUAUGAUGUAUGCAACACUUACUAUUAAUCAAAUUUAUGUGAAAUGCUAGUAGCAUAUGGAAUACCAUUCCAAGAAAACUAGGCCAAAGGGGUCAUAAAUAAGGGAUGCUUAUGUAUGGUCAUGAAAACAUCACUAUACAAGAAAUGAAAUCAACAAUUAAUAAUUAAUAUAAAUUAAAACAAUAAAUAAAAAUUAAUAUAUGAAUAAUCUUACUCAUGAAAUGCUCAUGGAUCCCAUAAAACAUCACUAAGCAAUCUGAAAUCAUUAGUUUGAUUCAUUUGGAACCCAUAGUAGUUGUUCAAAUAGUCGUGCAAGAUACGUGCAAUAUUAUUAUGCAUAAACUGAAGAUCGAGUCCCAUAUUGUCAUCACAUAAUCCUGUGAUUUUCCCUUUACCGUUCACCACUGCUACAUUAUCCAUACAAAAUCCAUCUUCUAACUUCUUUGAUCAUACAAAGUAUUGAAUACUUUCAAACAUGUCACCCGAUAAGAAAUAUUAGCUAAAUACAAAUCUAUAAAAUAAAAAAACAUUAAAAGUAAAUAACAUGUUUAUUACAAAAAUACUGUAGAAUUGAUAUCAAUUCUUGAUUAAGUUUUUGUUCGAUUACAAGUUGGUGUUGUUGGACCCAAUCAUGUAGGCUAAUGUGGUGCUCAAAAUCAAUUAUACGCUGUCAAAAUUCUACAUAACUAUGAUAGCUAGCCAACAGAUACUGCUUAUCCAAAGUUUCUGCUAUAUCAUAGGAACAAAAUUCUAUAUCAUUUGGAUGCACUGUUUCAAAGACACCAAUUUAAAGUAGUUUUCUUUUCCAUACACUUCAUAUAUAUUGUCUUUAAUAUGUACGACAUUAUACUAUUUGGUAGUGCUACAGACGUUCAACCUGUCAUUACUACCAAUCAUUCGAAAAAAAAAAUAUAGUAUUUUUUUCACAAUAUAUCCACAACACAUUAAGACUCUCAAAGUGUUAGAAAAGUUAAUAAAAAAAAUUGGCAUAACUAUGAUGUAUGCAACUGUUACUAUUAAUCAAAUUUAUGUGAAAUGCUAGUAGCAUAUGGAAUACCAUCCCAAGAAAACCAGGCCAAAGGGGUCAUAAAUAAGGGAUGCUUAUGUAUGGUCAUGAAAACAUCACUAUACAACAAAUGAAACCAACAAUUAAUAAUUAAUAUAAAUUAAAAAAAUAAAUAAAAAUUAAUAUAUGAAUAAUCUUACUCAUGAAAUGCUCAUGGAUCCCUUAAAACAUCACUAAGCAAUCUGAAAUCAUUAGUUUGAUUCAUUUCGAGCCCAUAGUAGUUGUUCAAAUAGUCGUGCAAGAUACGUGCAAUAUUAUUAUGGAUAAACUGAAGAUCGAGUCCCAUAUUGUCAUCACAUAAUCCUGUGAUUUUCCCUCUACCGUUCACCACUGCUACAUUAUCCAUACAAAAUCCAUCUUCUAACUUCUUUUAUCAUACCAAGUAUUGAAUAGUUUCAAACAUGUCACCCGAUAAGAAAUAUUAGCUAAAUACAAAUCUAUAAAAUAAAAAAAAACAUUAAAAUUAAAUAAUAUGGGUAUUACAAAAAUACUGUAGAAUUGAUAUCAAUUCUUGAUUAAGUUUAUGUUCGAUUACAAGUUGGUGUUGUUGGAUCCAAUCAUGUAGGCUAAUGUGGUGCUCAAAAACAAUUAUACGUUUUCGAAAUUCUACAUAACUAUGAUAGCCAAUGAAAACGUACUGCUUAUGCAAAGUUUUUGCAAUAUCAUAGGAACAAAAUUCUAUAUCAUUUGGAUGCACUGUUUUCAAAGACACCAACCUAAAGUAGUUUCCUUUUCCAUCUACUUCAUAUAUAUUGUCUUUAAUAUGUACGACGUUAUAGUAUUUGGUAGCGCAACAGACGUUAAACCUGUCAUUACUACCAAUCAUUCGUAAAAAAAAUAUAGUAUUUUUUUCACAAUCUAUCCACAACACAUUGAGACUCUCAAAGUGUUAGAAAAGUUAAUAAAAAAAAUUGGCAUAAGUAUGAUGUAUGCAACACUUACUAUUAAUCAAAUUUAUGUGAAAUGCUAGUAGCAUAUGGAAUACCAUUCCAAGAAAACUAGGCCAAAGGGGUCAUAAAUAAGGGAUGCUUAUGUAUGGUCAUGAAAACAUCACUAUACAAAAAAUGAAACCAACAAUUAAUAAUUAAUAUAAAUUAAAACAAUAAAUAAAAAUUAAUAUAUGAAUAAUCUUACUCAUGAAAUGCUCAUGGAUCCCUUAAAACAUCACUAAGCAAUCUGAAAUCAUUAGUUUGAUUCAUUUCGAGCCCAUAGUAGUUGUUCAAAUAGUCGUGCAAGAUACGUGCAAUAUUAUUAUGGAUAAACUGAAGAUUGAGUCCCAUAUUGUCAUCACAUAAUUCUGUGAUUUUCCCUCUACCGUUCACCACUGCUACAUUAUCCAUACAAAAUCCAUCUUCUAACUUCUUUGAUCAUACCAAGUAUUGAAUACUUUCAAACAUGUCACCCGAUAAGAAAUAUUAGCUAAAUACAAAUCUAUAAAAUAAAAAAACAUUAAAAUUAAAUAAUAUGUUUAUUACAAAAAUACUGUAGAAUUGAUAUCAAUUCCUGAUUAAGUUUAUGUUCAAUUACAAGUUGGUGUUGUUGGAUCCAAUCAUGUAGGCUAUUGUAGUGUUCUAAAACAAUUAUACGUUUACCAGAUUUUACAUAACUAUGAUAGCUAGCCAACAGAUACUGCUUAUCCAAGGUUUCCGCAAUAACAUAGGAACAAAAUGCUCUAUCAUUUGGAUGCACUGUUUUCAAAGUCACCAACCUAAAGUAGUUUCCUUUUGCUUCUGCUUCAUAUAUAUGGUCUUUAAUAUGUCUAACAUUAUAGUAGUUGAUAGUGCUAUGGACAUUAAACCUGUAACUAAUAUCAAUCAUUCGUAAGAAAAUAUAUAUACUAAUUUUUUUUUGACAAUCUAUCCACUACACAUUAAGACUCUCAAAAUUUUAGAAAGUUAAUAAAAAAAUUUAAAAAAAUGGCAUAAGUAUGUUGAAUGCAACACUUACUAUUAAUAAAAUUUAUGGGAAAUGCUAGUAGCAUGUGUGUGGACCCCGCAUUUCCACUCAUCUAUCUCUAUGUGUUUCCCACUCGAUGGCGAGCUCGAUUUUUUUAUUUUGAAAAAUUGAUUUUUAUUGAUUAAAAAAUGACUUAGAGUCGCCACUUAUUUUUGUUUUAUUUUUAAAAGGGUAAACAAAAUAAGAAAGAAAAACCCUAAGUGUGACUCCUUAUUUGGAAAAGGUGAUCUACGAAAAACCGGAUCGGGUUUGGGGGUCAGGUUACUUAUCGGGAAGGUACGGUAAAGACCGUAGCACCCCUCUAAGUCCCUAAUGUCGGGUCUCUACUAAUAAAAUGAAGCUGACAUGGCAACCAAUGAGAAAAUCAAUGAAUACUCAAAUCAAUCAUGCACAUAUGAGAAUUAGAAACAAGCAUAAGGAGUGACCAUGAUGCGAGAAAAUACAUACCUGGGUGGCGAACCAAUAUGCGCUAUCAAGAGGAGGGUUAGUGCACAAUUAAAAAAUAAUUUCGAGCAUGUCAUAGAGCAAAAUAAAUCAGAUAUGAAUAGCAAUCAAAUCAACCAAUCAAUCGAUCAUAGAAUCCCAUAUGUCGGGCCCCCACCAAAGCCCGUUUUAUUUUACAUGAAUUAAUUCCAUAAAUUCCAUUAUUCGGAAUUACGGAAUUUCAUCCUUGCUUGUUUUAAAAUAUUUUUAUAAACUCAUAGGAUUUUAUGAAAAUUGCUUGCCAGGAGAGAAUGGUAGCGAGUUUUAUUGAAAAGUGAAUUUUUUAAACCCUAAAAAAAACUAAGGAUGAAAAAGAAAAAAAUUAGGAACUUGGAAUUAUUUAAAAACCAAAAUUUAACAAAUUAAUUACAAAGUGGAAUUUAGUAAAAUUAUUUCCAAAAAAUCAAAAGGAUAAAAGAAUAGAAUGUGAUACGCGGCAAAUGAGUGGUUGGUGAACCAUGCAGCUGAAUGAAUACAUGCAUGGGCCCGAGGAUGCUGCUGGAGAUAUGCUAUUGGCUCGCCAUUUCUGGACAACAUUUCCUUGAUAAAGAGUUGUAGCCAAUCUUCAUAUGGGUCAUUGCAUUUAGUUCACCCAGUUCUGGCGGUAUGCUCCCACUGAGAAGGUUUCAUGUCCGAUGAAUAAACUCAAAACUCUUGAAAGAACCAUAUUCUGGUGGGAUCGGUCCUUUGAAAUAACUCCUAGAUAAAUUGAGAACUUUUAGAUAUCCAAGCUGAGAGAUUUCAGUGGGUAAUGGACCUGGAAAACUGUUACUGAAGGCGUCAAUCAUAACAAGGCGCUCAAACCUGGAAACUCCACCAAGAAAGUGACCUAAAGAACUGUUUCUAAACGUUGAAGUGUAUGAUUGCAUCUGCAAUGAACUCCCCUCUUGUUACCUCGGCAAUUUAUUCUCGGACUGGCAGUGCAUUUCGAAUGGUAAGGGCAUGACGCACAAUGCUCUCGGCUGGACGGAGUGCAUUUGCUUCUGCCAGCGUUUUCUGAAGCUCGUCUUCAAACUCGGGUCAAUCCCAUAUUAAGUAAUGAUAGAGAUUUUGUGGGGAAGAAUGCGCCAUGCACGUGAAGUUUGUCUCUCAGGGGGAUUUUUAGAAGAUGGAAGUGAAUAGGGGCAUGGAGAAUAGAAGUGGAGAUGGCUAUGAAAGAUAGGAAAUGGAUCUGAAUGCAACGGUUGAAAUUGACGUGGGGACUAGGUAUGAAAUAAUGGGUAUAUGCAGGCAUAUAGAUUCUUGAAAGGAUGGGAAACAGGGAUGGUUUAAUGAUGAUAGGAAUAGAAAAUAGGAAAUGAAUGAGGAGCCAACAUUAAUCUUGUGAAUAUGAGAGUUCAAUCUUCAAAUUGGAUGUAGAGGAUUCAUCACUUAACGUUUAUUUUUAUUUUCCUUUUUUUAAAACCAGAAAUCAGUGAUCCCACGUGGUCUGCCAGGCGCUGAACUUUUGCUGAAGGUGAUAGAAGCCAAUGUCGGGAAUCUUCUCUAACCGGACCCCAUCAAUACUCAAUAGCCCGAUUCCGAUAAGCCUUGAGUUCCGAGGACUGGGCAUGCUUUAAACAGAUUGAAAAUUUCCCGACUCUGUGAUUAUGAGAAUUGCCCUGUAAACUCUUCAUUUGUUCUUUUUUUUUCUCAGGAAAUCCCCUUCAUGAAACCGUCUUCUGGUCCCGAGCUUUGGAAACUGUGCCCAUAUGAAAACCCGAGGCUCAUGCUGGACCAAAACCCUUCUCCUUGAGGGUAUGAAUGGCCAUCGAGAACAGAGUAUAAACAGCAAGGGAGCAAACACAAAAACAGAGUAUCAACUGAACCAAAGAAAACACAAACCCGAGCUCCAUUUCAUAUUGGAGCCAGUGGGCUUAUGCAUGGAUGGGAAAAACCAUGGGAAACUAAGAUCUCAAAGAUAUGACUCAAAUAUUCAAAUGAGAGUUAUAAAGGAAUCAGAUUAUACUAAAACAAUUUUUCAAUGAAGAGCAAAGCGCGGAUACAUUAUCACAAAGUAACAGCAACCCAAAUGACAUCAAUGGAAAUCCAAAAUGUGGUCUAGCAAACGUACCUGAGGAUGCUCAUUUUCUUCCCUUUAUUUUCUUUUAAUUUCUCUCUGGUUUUCCUCUCGAACUCACCCACAAAACCAGUAUGCUCCCAUCCUUGGCACCAAAACUCCUCUCUGUCACAGCCUAAGCUCCAAGGAAUCACCUCCAGAAAAAUCUCCCUCUCUCUCUAAAGCUCUCUGCUCCCGAAAAACCCUCUCUCCUUCUUCCUCUCUUCCCCCUCAAGCUCUCCACUCCUCUACACACUCUAACGGCCUGCUCAGAGACCUCCUGCAGCUGCCAGACGACCCCCUGCAGCCAAAAACGCUCCCCCCUCCUGCAGCUGCUCUGCCACCUUCCCAUAACAGAAAACCUUUUUCCCUUCUAGAAGAUUCUUUCCCUUUACAGGUGUCUUCCCCUGAUUAGUGCAUCAAUUCCACUAUAGUGAUCCCAUAUUGACUAAUCCGGGAGUGACACGUGGCCAGAAUGAGCUGCAUGAAAUAGCACCCAAAUAGGGGUCUACAAAUAUGCCCCUCUUCGGUAGAGUUCACGACGAGUGUAAACAAUAUAAACACUAGAGUGAAAAGUAAGUGUGAAUAGUGAGUGCAAUGAAGUGAACUCUACCGAAGAACUAAGGAGACCCCCAUAGGGACACUAGUGAGAUAAAAACUUACCCAGACUAGCAGACGAACACAAAGGCUCUAAUCCUAAGAGAAAAGAUGUCACAAAAUGCCUCUGAAGCCACACUAAGGAUCCAAGCUCCCUCUAAGACGUCUCCAAAAGUGACUCGAAGAUCAAUGUCAAAGAUGAGUAACGGUCGAACCACCCUGGAGUACAAGAAAGAAUGUGCCCGAAGGAGACUGCCCUAUGUGAACUAUACGAGAAUGCUAAGUGUAGGGUGCCCAACAACAUGAUCGAAAUAUGCGUCACGGAUCUCAAAAGACUGUGUCAUGUGUAGUGGAAGGGGAAAUCUAGAAGAGCAAUGAUGAAUAGGGGAUAAACAUCAAGUAACCAGGUGAGGAGGAUGACUCUAAACGCCCAAAAUGGAAAUGUGACCCUGAAUGUCAUACUGAAGCAAAGACCUGGACGCCGAACUGACCUGAUAGGAAGAAUGAAUGACUGAUCUAUAUGGGUGCGGUCCUGACUCAAACUAAACACAAACUGAUAGGGGAGAUGGCCGAUCGAUAUGGGUGCGGCCCAGACUCAAACUGAACUGAUAAGAGGAUGGCCGAUUGAUAUAGGUGCGGCCCUAGAAACUAAACUGACAUGAUAAUGAUCGAUCGUAUAGGUGCGUCCCAGAAACUGAACUGUCAUGACAAAGAGAUGGUCGAUCGUAUAGGUGCGGCCCCGACUCAAACUGACACGAUAAUGACCAAUCGUAUAGGUGCGGUCCCAAAAACUGAACUGACAUGACAAAGAUGGCCGAUCAUAUAGGUGCGGCCCCGACUCAAACUGACACAAUAAUGACCGAUCGUAUAGGUGCGGUCCUAGAAACUGAACUGACAUGACAGGAAAAUGGCCGAUCGAUAUAGGUGCGGCCCUGACUCAAACUGACACGAUAAUGACCGAUCGUAUAGGUGCGGUCCCAGAAACUGAAAUGACAUGACAAGAAGAUGGCCGAUCGAUAUAGGUGCGGCCCUGACUCAAACUGACACGAUAAUGACCGAUCGUAUAGGUGCGGUCCCAGAAACUGAACUGACAUGACAGGAAGAUGGCCGAUCGAUAUAGGUGCGGCCCCGACUCAAACUGACACGAUAAUGACCGAUCGUAUAGAUGCGGUCCCAGAAACUGAACUGACAUGACAGGAAAAUGGCCGAUCGUAUAGGUGCGGCCCCGACUCAAAUUGACACGAUAAUGACCGAUCGUAUAGGUGCGGUCCCAGAAACUGAACUGUCAUGACAAAGAGAUGGCCGAUCGUAUAGGUGCGGCCCCGACUCAAACUGACAUGAUAAUGACCGAUCGUAUAGGUGCGGUCCCAGAAACUGAACUGUCAUGACAAAGAGAUGGUCGAUCGUAUAGGUGCGGCCCCGACUCAAACUGACACGAUAAUGACCGAUCGUAUAGGUGCGGUCCCAGAAACUGAACUGACAUGACAAAGAGAUGGCCGAUCGUGUAGGUGCGGCCCCGACUCAAACUGACACGAUAAUGACCGAUCGUAUAGGUGCGGUCCCAGAAACUGAACUAACAUGACAAAGAGAUGACCGAUCGUAUAGGUGCGGUCCCAACUCAAGCUGACACGAUAAUGACCGAUGAAUGACCUGAUCAAGUGACCCAAAACCAAAGGAUGACCCAGAUAAUGAUGCAAGUAAACUCGGGAGGGGAUAUGCCCCAGUAUGACAACUCAUAAGGAUUGACAACUAGGUCGAAAGAUAAUGAAGCCUGUGAAAGGUCCGAUGAUAUCGGAGAAGAAGGGUAUGCCCCAAUAUGCAACUCUCGGGGUCGACAACUAGAUCAAAAGUGAAUGAAACCUGUCGAAGGUCCCAUGCUCUCGGAGAUGGGGUAUGCCCCAGUAUCUAAUGAUGAACAGACAGAGAAGCAAAAUGCCUCAAAACUACUGUACUAUGAGAUAUGCUCAUCCAUCAUGUAAUGAAAAUGUCCAACCUCAAAUAAGUAAUGCCAAACAGGACUAUGUAUCGUGAUACCAUGCUGACUAAACAGAAAUGACUGAUGAAUAAAAACAAUGCUGACCAAUGUCCGAAAUGCGAAAAACAAGCAAAUCAACACUCAACAUGCCAACUGUCAAAAUGAAAGCAUCAACACUAAUAAGUCAGCAAUCUGUCAGGCCUUGCCAUCAUGGAAGAUGUUGAACCUAAAGUCCAAAAGAUAUAUGAAAGCACAACCAAGGUGAUCGAGGACUGAUCUACAUCUCCUCAUAAUCGAGAAAGGGGUGAGGUUAUGUGCCAUGGUAAGAUGUGAAGGAUAAAAGAAGGUGAUGGUCAGGCUCCGGUAUGAUAGAAGGUAUGAAAGUAUCCAUGGUGAAACGUCUGAGUAUGAAAUGAAAGGUAGGGAGAUAUCCGAGAUCAUCCAAGUAUGCCGAGAAGACUAAACCCGAGGUGUCAAUAACUCCAUAACCCAUCGUAAGCAGCAAUCACAAACAGGAAGUCAAGCCUCAAUGUCAAAACCUCCAACAAGGUGGCUAUGCCCCAGUAUGCAAUGAGGACAACAUGAAAUAAUCCAAUGAUCUCCCUAUCACUCGUCAGGUGCUCCAAUGUCAAGAACCAAUCUGAUCUCCCUCCAAAAGAUGGACAUGCCCCAAUGUAAAGGAUCCAAAUAGGGUGGCUAUGCUUCAAUGAAAAAUGCUCCCCAUCCCGGCUAUGCCCCAAUGUAAAGUAAUGUAUCCGAGUCAACAAAUCAAUCAAUCUCUACUCCUGGUGCUAAAAAUGGAAACAUCCCAAAAUAAUCCAUAUGAAUCAGAAUCCUCAAGCUAUAUGAAUGCGACUGAGGUGGCUAUGCCCCAGUAUAAACCACUCGAAGUGACUAUGCUCCAAUGAACAAUCAAAGUCCAUCACCAAUGAGAGGGCUACGCCUCAAAUAAAUCGUCAUCUCAAAAAUCAACCAUCAAUGAUAGAAUGUGUCCCAAUGCAGAGUAUCGAGUAGAGCAACUGUAUCUCCAAUAAAAACGCCCUCUGAAAUGGCUAUGCCCCAGUGUAGGGUCAUCCCACAAAGAAACUGUCAUCGAUGAGCGGGGUAUGCCCCAAUGUAGAUAAUGUCGCCUCUGAAAAUCCAUCACUGAUAAGAGAGGUAUGGCCCAAUGUAAAUCACCAUCUCAACUCCCCAUCCAUCAAGCUCUGAGAAAUGAUCUCCAACCAAGCUCGAGUAUUGCCCGCGUAGGAGCUGCCAAACACGAUGUAAAGUAAUGGCCUCAGGGUGGUCUUCAGACACGGGACGUAACGUAGGCUAAGGUAAUAGGGGGAAAGAAAUGAAAGGAAACUAGGCUCAAAAAUCCCAAUGAUACAAUCCCCAUACCCCUCGUGCAUGAUAUGCAAUGCGCAGAAAAUGUCAUGAGUCCCGGACCUAGGGGUCCCCACACGAAAAGUGAUGAUAAGUGAAUGGUCGCAUCGAAUAAGCAAGAAUAAAGUGUAGAUGCUGAACCCAUGUCAAACAUCAGACAGAAUGAGAAAAGAAUGAGAUAAGAUGAAGUGGAGUGAAACGGAGGGAUAAAAUAAAGAUGAAAGAAGGCGAAGAGAUAGAAAAGUGAGUGAUGGUCACCCUGCAUCAAAGCAUGGAAAGUAGUCUCAUCCGAAAUAGACGGAAUGAUGGAUAAAGCAAGGAUCCAGAGAUACUGAAGAAAGGUCGCUCGCAUCUCUCACAAAAAACGAAUGGGCGAAUCAUACUCUCACUCAAAAUAUACAUCAAGAUGAACCUCAAGAAAUAGCUCCCAUACGAGCUCUCUCUAACACAUAAACUCAAUGAAAUAAACCGGCACGUCCAUACACAUGCCCAAUGGAAAAAUAAUAAAAUGAACAAUGCGCUAUCUUUUUUUCUUUUUUUUUUUGGUUUUUUUUUUUGGUUUUUUUUUUGGUUUUUUUUUUUUUUUUUUUUUUGCGCAUACUCUGAUCAAUAAUGAAUGAACUCCCAUGAAAAUACAUACCCAAAUGAUCAAACCCUCUCCACAUACGAAUGUAACAUGAAUCCUCACCAACAAGACAACCUCUCAAAAUAACAUCUCUGAACCACUGCCCAUGGGGUGAAUGAUAGGAAAGAAUGUGACAACCCUCCAUGCAGUGACAUGUGAGAAACCACCACUCAAGGUGGAACAAAGAUAAUGUCGAGUAAGUAAUGAUGUGAGAAAAGACAAAGAACGAAUAUCGCAAGUGAUGAUAUGUGAUAUCGGAAAAUAGUGAUGAAAUGAUGACCAAGUGGAAGAUAUCACAAUGAAGAGUGAGGAAUGAGACCCGAAUAUAUGUGCCAGGUCUAGAACUCAUGACGUAUCCAAACAUAGCAUGCAAGCACUACAGGGUCCCCAACCCGGUGUAAUAGGUAAAUGAGGUGAUGAAAGAAAAGGCUAUGAUGCUCGUGCGAGGCUCAAAGGGCUAGCAAUGGAUAACUCUAUAUGUGAGGGUGAUAAAGUAAAUAGGCUCCUGAAAUGAUGGCCACCCAUCCUUUGACCAAAACCUCGCUCGUGCUUUCAAGAUCUCACAUGGCUAAUACUAAAGACUGGCAUCCGUCCAACAAAAUCAUGUCAACUCCUCCGAAAUCAUGUGAAAGCCCCCACUGAUGCUCUGUGAUAAUCAUCAAUGUCCUCGGAUAAUCACCUCACUCUAUCAUCAUAAUCCACUCACCAUCGUCUCAUAAAAAAAAACAUCAUCUCUAAUCAUCCUGACUCUCUGAAGUCAUGUGCAAUGGCUCAACAACAUCGUCAAGCAAUCAAGCCACUCUCUCAUCAUGAUCCAUCUAUCUUCGUGUAGAGCUCACCUCAGGUCAAACCAUCUCAGACACUACCAGGUCAGAUCAAGGAAAUGAUGGAAAGAAUAGGCAAUGGUACUAUAAUAUACGAAGGCGAAUAAGAAUGGUAAAGGUCAUAUAACGGUACCAAGAGGUGGUGUCAUGUCAAGCUCAAAAUGGGUAGGUCAUCAAGUCCAUAGAGUCAGGGUAUGGAUAUGGAUAUGGAUAUGAUACUGCUCUGAACGGAAGGUGAAAUGGGUCACAGUCUCGAACUCCCUAAGUCGAUCUCCUAAUCGUAGGUCAAUAGACUCAAUAUCCUCCAUGAUAGGUCAGGCCAAAGUGAUUGUGAUGUAAGUGAAAGAUGUAUCAUAUCGAAAGCAUAACACGCAUCAACACAAGAUGUGUAAAACACACUCACGAGAAAAAUGCCACAAUACUCAGAUAAAAUAUCAUAUCACUAAAUGAACCAACGAGUACAUCAUGUGUGAAAUGGUAAAGGACUACAAACAACUGGACUCUCAACAUGAAACUAAAAACAAUGACCCUAAACCGAAAACAAGACUCAACAAAACAAAAACAACUCUGAUGAACUGAAAACUGGACUCAACAAAAUGGAAAUGAGUCUGAUGAUGACCAUAAUCAAAAUGAGAAAUGCUCUGAACUGAACUGCUACCAAGUGAUGUACCCAUGCCGACUGACCCAAGUCCUCAUCCUGGAAGGUCCCAUAACACCAUACGCCAUCAGUACCCUCAAUAUCCAAAUCAAUCUACUGAAGACCAGGAGAAGGAGGAACUGCAUGUGUAGAAUGUGUAGGCAGGGGAUUGGUGGUCACACUUGGCCUGACCAAGUCAACCAUCCCUGAAUCGAUCAAAUCCUGUAUCGCAUGAUGGAGUGCUGAACAAUGCUCAGUAUCGUGCCCCAGAAUCUGAUGAUACAAGCAGUGCUCAUGUAAACGAAAAUGAAGAGGAACAUGAUGGGGCAAAGGCCUCGGUGCCAAAGGAACAAUCACUCCGGCAUCUCUGAGCUUCUCAAAAGCUCUAGUCAAAGUCAUACCCAACGGAGUGAACUGUCUCGCGGGCCUCUGUGCAUAUGGCCUGGGUGGUGGGUGAGUAGCGGCUCUCAGAUGCGAAGGUCGUGGCUGCAUGCUAGUCUGAGCAAUGUAAGGCCCCUGAGCAUAAUCCGGCUGAUACUGAUACUGUGGAAGAGAGAAAGGAGCUCUGACUGUAGGAGGUCUAUAAGCUGAGUGAUGUGCGGGCCUCCGAUGCUGAUAACUAAUAGCGCCAACCUCUCCAGAUCUACUAAAUGGCCCAAUCAGCUUCUUCCCCUUACUGUCAGGGGAAAGAGUAGUAUCUGUCCAUAAUCCUCGAGCAAUGGCCUCCUCAACACUGAAAGUUGCCUGAACCAAACUUCUGAGAUCCUGAAAUGGGAUGCCCACAAGACGUCUCGCGAACCUCGGCUGUAGGUUUCGAAGAACCAUAUCAAUCUGAUCCUGCUCCUUAGGCCGGUCUACCAUACCAGCCACCUUUGCCCUCCAACGAGUGACAAAUGAAGAAAUAGACUCCUCUGGCCUCUGUCUAGUGGCCUCCAACUCUCGUCUGGAUACAUCAAUAUCGGCACUGAAAGCGAACUGAGUCAGGAACUCACGAGCCACAUCCUCCCAGGUGCGAAGUCUCGACGACUCAACUGAAGCAAACCACCUCUGAGCUGCCCCACUAAGUGACAUAGGAAAGAGGGCCACCAACUGCGCAUCAUCUAUCCCAUGUGCUCUCAUGACCGUGCUGUAUAGCCUCAAGUGGAUCUUGGGACAACCAAUCCCACUAUAACGCUCAAUGUCUGGCAUGCGAAACUUGGCGGGCAAGCUAGCCGCCGGUAUGCCAUCCCUGUCAUCCCAAGUCAAACCUCCGUCCUGCAAUCUGAUCUGUCUCAUCAUGGACUCAAGCCUCUCAACCUUGGCCUCCUACUCGGCCAAUCGAGUAUCCUCAAUAGUAGGAACCAUGGGAGGCGGCACUAUGACAGUAGGUGGUGGAAUGGUCUCAUAAUGAUCUGUCAGAUGGAAUGGAGUACCGAGUGAAACCCUAGGUGGAAUAGCCUGUGCUGUCUGAGAUGCAUGAGGAACUGUCUCAUCAAUGACCAUGCCAACCGGCUGGGGAUCCUGGCGAGAACUCUCUAUCUGAUCCAAGUGUCUACUGACUCCGGCCAUGAACUCCUGGAUGGAAGCAAGUGUGGAAGCUAGCUCGUCUGACAUCUCAACUGAACUGUCUGAACUCGAAUAUGAAUCUGCUCUGAUCAAUCGACCUCCUACUCUCCUCCAAGAAUGUGACUCCAGACUCAACUGACUCCUAAACUGACUCCCUACAAUGCCAACAAAAUGGAUGAAGGACACAAGAUGAAACUCUACAAGGUGACAAUACAAUCAUGCAAGCACAUGGUCCUGAGGUGGCAAUCUGAAAUCUGGAUGUAUGACGAAAACUUUAGAGUCAUAAAGAUAUCCACUGCGAGAUGGCUACAAAUGUGACCAGAGAAUCUCCAUCAAUAAUCCGAGAUAAAGAGAGGUGUGAAAGACACGCUAUCACGAGAUCAGUACUCCAUCUAUAAACAUAUAUCCUUGAAUCAACCUUCAACUCGAGCUCCAUAAGAGAAAAAUAAUAAGGUGAUCAAGGCGAAUCUCUCGAAGACAGUGUGGAUGUGAAAAAUGGGCCUUUCACCUUUCCGUAAUGAAAAUAUGAGCAUCGAGUCGAAAAUUUAACCAAGGAUCAAACAAAUGAUGAGGUACUGAGCCCGUGAUAAGCAUACAGUGUAAAAAGAUGAUCAAUGAACAUAUCCCAAAGCAUCAUGUGAGUGAUAACAAAGUGAAGGGGUGUGUCGAGCCAAGAAAUGAGAACGAAAACCCUAGGGAGAAAACAUGCUAACUCAUCGAGUGAAAAACAUAAUACAAGGUGACAUGACAAUGGUGGUCCAACCGAUACUCAAACUCAUACCAAUCUCCGAGCACUCUCAACUGGAGACUAAAAAGAGGGAACACUGGAUCCGAACUGUAACUAAAGAGGCUCUGAAGGCCUUCAGAUGCACCCACGUGUAGGGUGGAAGUCCUACUCGAAGGAUCUACGGCUCAACCUACGAGGUCAGGCGGCUCUAAAUGGAUAUGGGUGGACUUUAAAAAAAUCCCUAGCAGAAGCGAUCAUACCCUCCAGCGGUACGCAACCCUCUGCACACCUUAGAAAAGACGGGGCGCUUCCAUGCAAGGUGGACAUCACAUCCACACAUGCACUACCUUGACAUCCCAGGGGGUUUCCUAUGGUGAAUCCUCUCAAACUCUCAACGCUCAAUAGUCAACUAGAGUGCACAGUGAUCGGUGUGGGUGCAUCCGAAACCCUUAGAAGCUAAAGCAGAAGAUGAAACACACUGGUCGCAUAAAUAUCCAUGAAACCUAGCUCAGGGCUAUACAGGUCUUCAAUGAUUGGACUCCAAUCGACAACAAUACGCCGCUCUCCUCCAGAAUGCUCCCAAACAUCGGUAUAGCCCCUCGCCAGACCCUACUCUUAACCUCUAUCUCGGUCAGAGUACAAGCACACACAAGGGCUCACACUUGCAAAAGUGAGAACCGUAAUGAAGGAAGUGACCGAGACUAGAGGGUGGGAGACAAGGGGAUAGAUAUGCGACCCACAUAAACAAGCGGCACACAGUCAUGCAAAAGGAGGGCAGUCAUGCGACACACAAUCAGGCAAAGCUCAGAUAUAUCAUCAUGUACACACAAGAUAAGCGAGAAUACGACGAUCAAGACGAAUGGCGAUACAAACAUCAUGCUCAAAGACGAUCAAAAUAGUAUACAAGUCAAAGAAUCAACAUGUCAAGCUGAGUGAUAUACAGUGGUGAGUGUAUGCAUGUGAAGUGAUCAGAACAAUCAUGACAAAAUCAGGGUCAACGUGCUAAGCAAAGCAAUAAGAUCAAUCAUCAAUGAUCCAACAUGUCAAUGUCUCAAACGAAUAUAUCAAUGAAACACAGAAAAAAUCAUGGCAUCAGAAUCCUUAAUCAAUACAAAUCAAUCAACACGAUCAACGUGUCAAAGUCUCAAGUGGAUAUAAAAUCCGAGCAUGCAUCAAAUAUCCUCAAUGUGCAAUCAAGAAAUGGGCAUCCACUGAUCGUCCAAUCGAAUGCCACGUUUGCUUCAUUCUAAGUUCAAGCUUGACCCUCUAAAAAUCCCCAGUGGAGUCGCCAUUUUGUGGACCCCGCAUUUCCACUCAUCUAUCUCUAUGCGUUUCCCACUCGAUGGCGAGCUCGAUUUUUUUAUUUUGAAAAAUUGAUUUUUAUUGAUUAAAAAAUGACUUGGAGUCGCCACUUAUUUUUGUUUUAUUUUUAAAAGGGUAAACAAAAUAAGAAAGAAAAACCCUAAGUGUGACUCCUUAUUUGGAAAAGGUGAUCUACGAAAAACCGGAUCGGGUUCGAGGGUCAGGUUACUUAUCGGGAAGGUACGGUAAAGACCGUAGCACCCCUCUAAGUCCCUAAAGUCGGGUCUCUACUAAUAAAAUGAAGCUGACAUGGCAACCAAUGAGAAAAUCAAUGAAUACUCAAAUCAAUCAUGCACAUAUGAGAAUUAGAAACAAGCAUAAGGAGUGACCAUGAUGCGAGAAAAUACAUACCUGGGUGGCGA